RNAcentral lists this ribosomal RNA (280 nucleotides) under uncultured archaeon. Its description in RNAcentral is "partial 16S ribosomal RNA". It matches the Rfam family "Archaeal small subunit ribosomal RNA", at positions 1047 to 1324 of the family's 1478-position model. The record is from RNAcentral.
GAGACCCACGCCCACAGUUGCCAGCUUGUCCUCCGGGAUGGUGGGGACACUGUGGGGACCGCCUCUGCUAAAKAGGAGGAAGGAAUGGGCAACGGUAGGUCAGCAUGCCCCGAAUUAUCYGGGCUACACGCGGGCUACAAUGGGUGGGACAAUGGGUAUCGACACCGAAAGGUGAAGGCAAUCUCCUAAACCCAUCCGUAGUUCGGAUUUGUGGGCUGCAACUCGCCCACAUGAAGCUGGAAUCUGUAGUAAUCGUGUCUCAAAAUGGCACGGUGAAUAU